This 540-nucleotide ribosomal RNA is filed under the name uncultured bacterium. RNAcentral describes it as "bacterial SSU rRNA". It matches the Rfam family "Bacterial small subunit ribosomal RNA", at positions 355 to 896 of the family's 1533-position model. The record is from RNAcentral.
UAGGGAAUAUUGGACAAUGGGUGCGAGCCUGAUCCAGCCAUGCCGCGUGCAGGAAGAAAGCCUUCUGGGUUGUAAACUGCUUUUCUCUGGGGAUAAAAGGCCCAUGCGUGGGACAUUGAAGGUACCAGAGGAAUAAGCCACGGCUAACUACGUGCCAGCAGCCGCGGUAAUACGUAGGUGGCAAGCGUUGUCCGGAUUUAUUGGGUUUAAAGGGUGCGUAGGCGGCUUUGUAAGUCAGUUGUGAAAUACGGCAGCUCAACUGUCGAGGUGCAAUUGAUACUGCAAAGCUUGAGUACUGAUGAGGUAGGCGGAAUGGACGGUGUAGCGGUGAAAUGCUUAGAGAUCGUCCAGAACACCGAUAGCGAAGGCAGCUUACUAAGGAGUAACUGACGCUGAGGCACGAAAGUGUGGGGAUCAAACAGGAUUAGAUACCCUGGUAGUCCACACUGUAAACGAUGAUUACUCGAUGUGUGCGAUAUACGGCACGCGUCUUAGCAAAAGCGAUAAGUAAUCCACCUGGGGAGUACGCCGGCAACGGUG